This 427-nucleotide ribosomal RNA is filed under the name Biomphalaria straminea. Its description in RNAcentral is "partial 16S ribosomal RNA". The record is from RNAcentral. Lineage: Eukaryota; Metazoa; Mollusca; Gastropoda; Planorbidae.
AGUUUAAGGAAAUAAUCUUAAAUGAAUUCUGCCCAGUGAUUUUUUUUUAAAUGGCCGCAGUACCUUGACUGUGCUAAGGUAGCAUAAUCAAUUGGCUUCUAAUUAAAGUCUGGAAUGAAAGGAAAUAUGAAGUAAUUCUAUCUUAAAGGAUUUUUUUUGAAUUUAUUUAAAUGAUGAAAAUAUCAUUUUAUAGAAAAAAGACGAGAAGACCCUUAGAGUUUUGAUAUUUAUAUAUUUUUGUUGGGGCGACAGGUAAACAUAUAACUUUACGAAUUAUCAUAUUGAUCGAUUUUUUAUAAGAAUAAUAAAAACUACCUUAGGGAUAACAGCAUUAUAUUUUUUUAUGAUUGUGACCUCGAUGUUGGACUAGGAACUUUAUGGCUAGCCGUCAAAAAAGAUUUGUUCUGUUCGAACAAUUUUAUCCUAC